CAACCCCUGCGCGGUGCGGAUGGCGUCGGCAGUGGUCUUGUCGCGGCUGGGAAGCGUCGGCAGCGUUUCGUUGUUCGGGUUGACGAAGUUGA
This 92-nucleotide transfer RNA is filed under the name Ralstonia holmesii. RNAcentral describes it as "Ralstonia sp. LMG 32967 tRNA-Thr". Lineage: Bacteria; Pseudomonadati; Pseudomonadota; Betaproteobacteria; Burkholderiales; Burkholderiaceae. The record is from RNAcentral.